ACACCAAGCUGAAGGGGGUUUUAUCUGUACCUGGGAUGACGGACUGCAGGUGGAACGUCACAUUGACACCAAGCUGAAGGGGUUUUAUACCUGGGAUGACGGACUGCAGGUGGAACGUCACAUUGACACCAAGCUGAAGGGGGUUUUAUACCUGGGAUGACGGACUGCAGGUGGAACGUCAC
Long non-coding RNA from Salvelinus fontinalis (brook trout), 182 nucleotides. RefSeq lists it as uncharacterized. The transcript has 3 exons. The record is from RefSeq and is a predicted model, not a curated record. Lineage: Eukaryota; Metazoa; Chordata; Actinopteri; Salmoniformes; Salmonidae.